Small nuclear RNA from Choloepus hoffmanni (Hoffmann's two-fingered sloth), 112 nucleotides. Its record names the gene U5. It matches the Rfam family "U5 spliceosomal RNA". Rfam says of the family: U5 RNA is a component of both types of known spliceosome. The precise function of this molecule is unknown, though it is known that the 5' loop is required for splice site selection and p220 binding, and that both the 3' stem-loop and the Sm site are important for Sm protein binding and cap methylation. Lineage: Eukaryota; Metazoa; Chordata; Mammalia; Pilosa; Megalonychidae. The record is from Ensembl.
UACUCUGGUUUCUCUUCAGAUCGUAUAAAUCUUUCGCCUUUUAUUAAAGAUUUCCGUGGAAAGAAACAAAAAGAAAAAAAAAUAAUUAGGUUUAUAUGCUAUGGGAGUACAA